This is a long non-coding RNA of Oncorhynchus tshawytscha (Chinook salmon), 2512 nucleotides long. The record is from Ensembl. Lineage: Eukaryota; Metazoa; Chordata; Actinopteri; Salmoniformes; Salmonidae.
GCAGAUGCAACAUCUAGUGUUUGUGACAGUUGUUCCUUGAGAAACAAACACAUCACAAGACUUAUAAACCCAAAUAAAACACCAAUAUCACAUUUCCAGGUAGUUUGUGAUAGUCUAGUCCACCGGGAGAAGAGUUGAAACUGUUUAUGAAUGAUUUAUGAGGUGAAAGCUUAGAGACGACCUGAGUCACGAGAUACAGCACUUCUCUCACAGAUGUUCUGUAUGGUCAUGACCAGUCACCACGCUCCCUCCACAGCCCAAUUCAUUCUAUUGGUCCUGCUCACUGUCGCUUCAGAGCUGGCCUCUGCCCCUGUGGGGGGGGAAGAGAGUGGGGAGGAGGGGCGCUCCAGGACUCACCUCAAAAAGGACAGCCUCAGCCCCAGCCCCCUCCGCUCUCCCCUGGACCAGACCCAGGACCAGGUAAAGGAGCAGAGUCAGGAACAGAGCCAUGUUGGUCCCGCAGACAUGGACCCUGCCCGGGCACUAGCCUCUGUAUUUCUGAAGGCCCUGGACCACACCGGGAAAGCACAGGCACAGGAGAGGGGAGAGGGACAGGAAGAGGCUGACCCAGUCCCUUUGGAGGAGAAAGGGGGUGAGGAGAUGAGGAGAGAGGUUGGGAUGGAGGAGGAGAAGAGGAUGGAACACCUAGAAGCAGCACUAGUGGCAGCAGCUCUGGGAGAGGAAUUAAGAGAGAGGAAUGAGGAAGAGGAGGAGAGUGAGGAGAGGAAGAGUUUGGAGGACAGAGGCUGGCUUCUAGAGGGAGAGCGGGACAGAGCUGGUGGAGGGAGUGAGGAGGGAAGACAGCAGAAGGAAGAGGAGGAGGAAGAGGGGGAGGAGGAAGAAGAAGGUGGAGAAGGAGGGAGAUGGGGAGGUGAGGAGGAGAGGGAGGAGAGGAAGAGGUUGGAGGACAGAGGCUGGCUUCUAGAGGGAGAGCGGGACAGAGCUGGUGGAGGGAGUGAGGAGGGAAGACAGCAGAAGGAAGAGGAGGAGGAAGAAGGGGAGGAGGAAGAAGAAGAAGGUGGAGAAGGAGGGAGAUGGGGAGGUGAGGAGGAGAAAGGAGCAGAGGGGAGUAGGAGAGGAGAGGAGGGGAGGCCUAGUGACUCGUCUCUCCAGCGGAAGGCUCGGGGCUACUUCCAGAACAUAGACCUCGGUCUCCAAGACAAUGAGAUUCGUCCUCCUCUGAAGGGAUACAAGGCCUAUAACACCCAGCUGGCACAGGCUGGCAAGAGGCUCCGCUGGGAGGAGGAGAGGGCACGCAACACACCCCUGUGGGGCAACUUCAUGGACAACUUUGAGAACAAGGCAGAAGAGGAGGGGGAGGAGGGGGAGGAGGGGGAGGCUCUGUCGUGGGCAGAGGAGGAUGCACGUGCGCUUGUGGACCAGCAAGAAGUGCAGCGGCAGCAGAAGGAGGCAGAGAGGGCCAGAGAAGAGGAACAGCGACUUGCGGACAUUGCCUCUGACAUGCUGCUGCAGUACAUGGAGAGGAAACAGCAGGGAACGCCGUACCUCACGCCCAGGCAGAAGGCCGGCACAAACGCUGUGGAGGACAAACGGUCAGAGGAGGUGGCAACUGACAUGGACGACCUGGACCAGCAGAUGAUUGAUAGGUUGAUCGAGAUCAGCAGCAAGCUGCACCUGCCGGCCGACGACGUGGUCCAGAUCAUCUCCAACGUAGAGGAGAAGAAGAAGAGAAAGGAGCUGACGUCGCUUAGCAACCGGGUCGCCCCGCGUUACCGUCCCCUAGUUCCCCCUCCCCUAGUGACAGGCUCCAUGUACCACUACACAGUCUCCUCCAACCCCAAGAAGGACCCUUACUACCAGCCCUACAAGAACAAGUGGCAAAACGAUAGAGCCAAGGCCAUGGCCUACAAGCAGGACGUCUGGUUCAAACCCCAGAAACAGAAGGAAGUCUGGUUCAAACCCCAGAAACAGAAGGACGUUUGGUUCAAACCCCAGAAACAGUUCCUAGCCUUUCCGUCCUACCCCUACUAUCAGAAACCCUACCGUGCCUACUACCCUGUGAUCUUCCCCUACCCCAAACCCCAGUACUACGACAAGAUGCCCAUGGGGGCGGAGCUGCCCCACCGCCCACUCCCAGACUACGAGCUCCAGCCAAACAGGCGCAGACACAGGGCAGGGGGCAGGGAAAAAGGGAGAGGUGGGCAGGGCUGGAGACAACAGCCCCUCCCACCCCGUCUCCCCUCACCCCACUACAUCUCCAACUACAUCUUGCCACACCCCCGGACAUAUCAGCCCCUCCCCCAGCCCAGACCCCUCUCUCCCCAGAGCAGGCGCCCCACCUACUACUACCCCCCAGGGCCUGGGGGCUUGGGUGUGGCCGGGGGAAGGGUGGGAGGGGACUAUGAAGAGGAUGAUGGGCUGGUUCCUCAGCUGGACAGUCAGGAAGAACUGGAAAACUUGAUUUCAAGAAUAUACAUGAAACGCAGAAUGUACUAGAGACAGACCGAGAGACAGACACUACCACAUGACAGAGGGACCAAGCAGGGAAGGA